RNAcentral lists this ribosomal RNA (459 nucleotides) under uncultured bacterium. Its description in RNAcentral is "partial 16S ribosomal RNA". It matches the Rfam family "Bacterial small subunit ribosomal RNA", at positions 338 to 795 of the family's 1533-position model. The record is from RNAcentral.
CCUACGGGAGGCUGCAGUGAGGAAUAUUGGUCAAUGGGCGCGAGCCUGAACCAGCCAAGUCGCGUGAGGGAAGACGGUCCUAUGGAUUGUAAACCUCUUUUGUCGGGGAGCAAAAGACGCCACGCGUGGCGUUCCGAGAGUACCCGAAGAAAAAGCAUCGGCUAACUCCGUGCCAGCAGCCGCGGUAAUACGGAGGAUGCGAGCGUUAUCCGGAUUUAGUGGGUUGAAAGGGUGCGCAGUGGGAAGAUCAAGCCAGCGGUAAAAUUGAGAGGCUCAACCUCUUCGAGCCGUUGAAACUGGUUUUCUUGAGUGAGCGAGAAGUAUGCGGAAUGCGUGGUGUAGCGGUGAAAUGCAUAGAGAUCACGCAGAACUCCGAUUGCGAAGGCAGCAUACCGGCGCUCAACUGACGCUCAGGCACGAAAGUGUGGGUAUCGAACAGGAUUAGAUACCCCUGUAGUC